Long non-coding RNA from Nasonia vitripennis (jewel wasp), 759 nucleotides. RefSeq lists it as uncharacterized. The transcript is spliced from 3 exons. The record is from RefSeq and is a predicted model, not a curated record. NCBI's taxonomy places the organism in Eukaryota, Metazoa, Arthropoda, Insecta, Hymenoptera, Pteromalidae.
CUAGAGGCCGACUGGAGGGACAAGAGAGAUUUUGUUCGUUAGACUUGUUCGACGACUCGUUUGGCUUAUAGACGUUGAAAAUUGUGACGGUUUUUGGGCCCGAAGCUAACGGCGGCGGCGGCGGCGGUUGACAGAAAAUGUCAUUACCAUCCUCAUGCCAAAUACCUCAACAAGAAUCGAAAGAUCUAGCGGAGAAGGGAAGCAGAGCCACUCAAUCUUGAGGUCACGCCUGGAAAACUCAUACGAACAAUAUACAACACUGGCUUCUUCCUAUACCAAAAAUUGAGGCUCAUCGACACCGGCACUACAAUUCACGCGUAAACUAGAUAAAAAGAGCUCUCAUCAAGAAAAAACUUUAAGUUUCCAGAAUUUCCAUAGUUACGAGCAUUACAAUGCCUCACGAGACUUCUGUCGAGGCUUAUCUGCAUAUAGUACACACAUUGGUUAAAGGAUGACUGAUAAGUCGUAUCUAUUCGUAGCAGACGGACGCUUCGCGCACUCUGUCAUCGCGAGAGAGAGAGAGAGAGAGAGAGGAUGCCCCGGUCUUCUCUGGGAUGGGGAGCUUUUUUUAGAAAAAUUCCGAAGCUGUAAAUUAUAAAUGCUGCUGUCGGCGAUUCCACGAUGGAAUAUUUGCAAGGAGAGAGCGGGCGCAACAUUGUCUUAACUUUACAUCAUUAUAUACGCGAGCAUAAUUCAAGCGGAUAUAAAAUUUGUAUUUAUCGGUUAAUAAAAUGUUGAUAAAGCUUGAGGCUGCAAUAA